UUUUUUCUUUUUUCUUUUUUUUUUGCAUUUUAAAGGAAAACUUCCAGUUUACAUUUCCCCACACCCAUUUUAUAGCCCACUCAUGCGCUCACCACUGCAAUGUGAAAAUUUUACUUUUGGUCAAUUAUUGUCCUUCUGCAAAAUCGCCAAAGAGAACUCAUCAGUCUCACUAUCCUGAAGAGAAUACAGUAACACAGUAAGACUGAAAUUCUGCAAGAGACUGUGUAUGAAUACUUCUUCAUACCUCUCUUCACACUGGCAUAAAAUAUUAAAAAGAAACCUUUCCCAAAAUGUACUAGGGGAAAACAGUAAGUGGGAGGGGAGAAUGUAGUAAAACAAAAACUAAUCCAUUUCACUUUGUACUUCAGAGUUUUCUUGCUCUAGAUAUUGAGAAUAUUUCUAGAAAUGCCUUAAGGUGGAACCAGAUGUGAAAUCAAUUUCAGGGCAUUAAGGAAAAUAUGUUGGGCCGUGGUUACAGUCCCCGCUCUCUCUUUGCUAACACCAUUUUGAGUCGCUUUUUAAAAAUUCCCGUUCUUUCCUGAUCCCCUUUGGACAAAUACUUAUAAUUAUCUUCUUUUUUUUUUUUUUUUUUUUAACUAGCCAAAGAAGCAGCAGCAACAUCAUAUUUAUUUGUAAAACUUUAUUGCCGUCCUAACCAAGGUGACCCAACCGUCUCUCAUGACUGUUGAGACCUCCAGAUUGGAGCCUUUCCUCUUGCUUUCUCCAAUCUUUGUUGAAACGGCCUUAGUGGGUGGAUUCUAAUUCCUGGGUUGUCAAUAGCAAGUCAUGUGGCCUUAGUUCAAUCUUACCCCUGUGGCAUCACUACUUCUCUGUCGUAAAAGAUGGACCUGGAUGUGAUGUUGUCUGAGGUUCCUGCUGCUUCUCCCAUCCCAUGGCCCUCCCAUUCCGCCCUAGAAGACUAGGACAUGGAGUUGUAAGGUGGUGGGGUUCUCUGCAAAGGGUCCUCUCCUCCUGCUCCCCUCUGUUUCUGGGCAGGCAUGAUGGAUGCUGAGCACAUCCUCACUGGGAGGAAAAGCCAUCACUCUGCUCCAGACAGAGGGGAUCAGGAGGAAAAGGGCUGAUGUUCCCCACUGCUGGUUGUGCAUAGGUGGGGUCCUUAUAUCCUGCACCCCAGGCUGACUGGAAGUUCAGGGAAGUUCAGGAGUGUUUUUUUCUCGCUUGUGGAUGGUGCUUCACCCUUCAGUAAACCCACGGCCCACGCUUCAGCUCAUCCUCCUGGCAGGUGAUCCUUUUGCCCCUGAUAUAUCACUACCUAGCAAUCCGUCCAGACUCAGCCAUCAGGAGGACCUGACAAAAAUGCUCAUUUGAUUUUUUUCUCUCUCUCCCCUACAGAUACCAAAUACUGCUGGAAGGAUGCAAAGGGUGAAAGGAUGUCACAAAAAGUAGCUUUUCCACUUGAUGAAAACAACUAAAACAGCAAAGCAAGUUCAAAUCCAAACACAAUACUGCAGGGGUCCUUCACUGAGGAUUGAAUUUUAGACACAGAAUACUCUUGAUGGUUUCAACCCACUAUGCUCCUUUGAUUUGAGAAGCCACAGUCCAUCCCCCUCCAAUUGUAAUCAAUGCCUAGGGAGACCAAUGCCCAGACGGACAAACAGCAUUCACGGGCCUUAGCCCUGCUCCUCUCCAUUCCCAUCGCGUAGAGAACAGGAGUCAGGAGCCGCUGGCAGGAGACAGCAUGUCAGCCGGAACUCUGCAAGGGCAGAGUAUG
Molecule: long non-coding RNA, 1732 nt
Organism: Macaca fascicularis (crab-eating macaque)
Lineage: Eukaryota; Metazoa; Chordata; Mammalia; Primates; Cercopithecidae
Source: Ensembl